GAAGGUGGCAAGCGUUGUUCGGAUUUACUGGGCGUACAGGGAGCGUAGGCGGUUCGGUAAGCCCUCUGUGAAAUCUCCAGGCUUAACCUGGAACAGUCGGAGGGGACUGCUGGGCUGGAGGACGGGAGAGGAGCGCGGAAUUCCCGGUGUAGCGGUGAAAUGCGUAGAGAUCGGGAGGAAGGCCGGUGGCGAAGGCGGCGCUCUGGAACGUUUCUGACGCCGAGGCUCGAAAGCGUGGGGAGCAAACAGGAUUAGAUACCCUGGUAGUCCACGCCUUAAACUAUGAAUACUAAGUGUCGGCGGUUUACCGCCGGUGCCGCAGCUAACGCAUUAAGUAUUCCGCCUGGGAAGUACGGCCGCAAGGUUG
This 367-nucleotide ribosomal RNA is filed under the name uncultured bacterium. RNAcentral's name for it is "bacterial SSU rRNA". It matches the Rfam family "Bacterial small subunit ribosomal RNA", at positions 527 to 896 of the family's 1533-position model. The record is from RNAcentral.